RNAcentral lists this unclassified non-coding RNA (1096 nucleotides) under Hevea brasiliensis (rubber tree). Lineage: Eukaryota; Viridiplantae; Streptophyta; Magnoliopsida; Malpighiales; Euphorbiaceae. The record is from RNAcentral.
AAACUCGGAGCCAGCCCAUCCAUCUACACUUGAAAAAUUGGAAUUUGGGAUUCUGUCACUCCGUAACCAUUGAAUUCAAACACCAAAGCAAAGAUGCAUAAGCGAUCGCUGGUUUCUCUUUUCAAUUUGUUCCGGAGACACCAUUUUCAACCGUUUCCACAACCAAUAUAUGCAUUUUCUCUCGAAUCGCUCUCAUCGAUUCCGACUCGACUCGUUCCCAGUUCAAUCCAACCUCUGAACCUCAAAUUUCUUCACACUUCCACCUCAAAUCUUUACACAUACGCCCGUUCACUUUGCCAAAACCUCGACGCCUGGCCCACGACUUAUAAAACUCGGAGAAAAUACAGUACUGAGUCGGAAGACGACCCAUUUCCCGCGUUGGAUGUGAACAAAGAGGUGGACAUGAUAAAUCUCAAGUUUGCAGAAGCAAGAGAGGAGAUAGAAAUGGCAAUGGAGUCAAAAGAGACUGUGUAUUUCAACGAAGAGGCGGAGUGUGCACGAACUGCAGUGAAAGAAGUGCUGGACAUGUUUGAGGGGCUACUGGGGAAGUUGCCAGGGAGCGAAAAGGCGGCUUUGCAAAGAUCAAUGGGGCUCAAGAUUGAGCAGUUGAAGGCUGAACUUCUACAGCUGGAUGACUAAUGAGGUUGUUGAUAAUGGGUUCUGGUCGAAUUUCCUUUGGUGCAAUCAUUUUUUUGGGUUCUGGAUGAUGUACUAUGUUUUCGUUGAGCUUAUUGAGGAUAAUUCGAUAUCGAUGUCAUCGCUGAAAAGGGAUUUUGUGAUGGAAAGUUAAUUUUAGUUAAUAUAGACGAUUUUGAUUUGAAUAAUGGAUUAGGAGUUCGUUCCUGAAGUUCAAUUAUCUUAUAGCACUAAUCUCUGAUUUUUAAUAUUACCUUUAGAAUGAAACGAUUUUGUUUUGCUGUAACUUUUGAUCAUAUGGAACCCAGUAUAAGACUGAUAAUAGUCAUAUUCUUCUAAUGUGUUCAUGCUUUGAUUGAUGGAUUGAUGCUUAUAGUCUUGCAUGCCAAAUGGUAUUGUGAUAAAAACCAAGGGGAAAUAUGUAAUGAGAUAUCUUCUUUGGAGAGGUAAUGCAAUUAUU